This is an RNA transcript of Hydractinia symbiolongicarpus, 1744 nucleotides long. It is a transcript of the gene named syntaxin-18-like, with no coding region annotated. The transcript has 12 exons. Lineage: Eukaryota; Metazoa; Cnidaria; Hydrozoa; Anthoathecata; Hydractiniidae. The record is from RefSeq and is a predicted model, not a curated record.
AAACUUUAAAUAAUAUACUUUUAAAGUUUUUUUAGAUUAUCAAUUUAAAACUGUUUACUUUAAAAUGGAAAUAACAAAGUUGUUCAAGGCUUGUGUCAAAGCUGCUAAAUUAAAAAAUAAAGAAGCUAGUAAUAUUCUUCCAAAGUCCAGAAAGAACCAAAAUGGAGAGAAAUCGUUUCAUUGUAAAGCAACAGAUUUGGUCAGGAAUAUCACCAAGCUUCGUGAAUUUCUUUUGAGUCAUCAGCUUGAAUAUAUUGGAGAAUUUAGUCAUCUUAUAUCAAUAUCAUCAAAACUUAGCAGUGAAGAACGAGACCAGAUUGAUGCUGAUGCACAAACUUACAUAAAAUCAUGCUCAAAUUCAAUUUUUGCGUUAAAAAAUGAAGUAAAUCAAAUUUCAUCAGAAUCACAAUUGAAGAGUCACUGUGUGGCAGUAAUUGAAUUGUUAGAGUUGUAUUUAAAAGAUGUAUGUAAACUGUACAGCCAGCAGAGAGCAUAUCGCGUAAAGCAGACGUUGGACCGAAAGAGAAUGUCUCGGUUAAAACCAGUAAGGAGGAAGAUAGAAAAGAAAGAUUCUGCUGUAGAAACAAAACGAACAGAAACAAUUAAAAAAGUUGAUCACAAAAAUAAAAAGAAAAGCAAUCCAGUGAACUCUGCAUCAAAAAGAGAAACCUCUACACAGCAGGCAUUGUUGUUAAAUGAAGAAAAGAAGAAAGAAGAAUUCAACUUUACACCUGAAGAAACUCAAAUGUUUGAAGAAGAGAACGAACAGCUGUACGAAGAAAUGAAUCAUGUUGAUAAAGAAAUUAAAAAUAUAGAAGGAAAAGUUAUCGAAAUUGGUCAACUUCAAGAAAUAUUUCAAGAGAAAGUUUUAGCACAGUCAACUCAGAUUGAAAAUCUUCACGAAACAGCUGUAUCAACGACUGAAAACGUAAAAGAAGGAAACGAACAAAUACGAGAGGCCAUCAAAAACAGCGCCACAUUUCGUGUCUGGAUUCUGUUCUUUUUGGUUAUGUGCACGUUUUCUCUUCUGUUUCUUGAUUGGUACAAUGUCUGACGAAUCGAACGAUUGUAUCAUUUUGAUUGGUCUGCUUUUGGAUAUUUUAUCAAGAUAACUAUAUGCAAUAUGUAAAUAAAGAAUGGAUUAUCUUACCAUCAAAUUUGAUUCCAAAUAUAAACAAUUUUGGAAUUGAGGAUUGUGUUUUCGGGAGAAUCAAACCUGAUAGAAUCCAAUUCAACUUUUUAUUAUGACGAAAAUCGCGACCAAUCGAGUUCGAGUAUUGAUGACGAUCGUCGUAAAAAUCGUCCCGUGGAGAUUCGCCUUUAUGAAAUAAAUUCCUGCGAAAUUUUAAAAUGUGCUCUAUUUUUAAAAUACACGGGUCCCGCAAACAUAAAGUUACUGUAAUCGUAUCAUAUAAAUUUGAUAGGAAACUUUUUCAAGAGGGCGCUUAAAAUUAUCCGGUUGACAGGUAAUUUUUGCACUCGCGACAAGAGUUGAAUGAAUCUGAAAACACUUUUGACACGAUCAAAUUCGCGACCAUCGUCACAUAAUAUACAUAAUCUAGACAUAAAUAUAUUCAACAAUUUAGUAAAUUUAACAUAUAUACAUAAAAAAAUAAGAAGCUAUUUAUUACGCUAACCUUGAAAGCAUACUAAUACCACGACAUAAUGUCAUGAUGUAUAAUAUGUUGUAGUAUAGCUCAUAUUUUAAAUAUUUUUAAAAAAGAAUUUGAAUGUAUUAUUUCGA